Long non-coding RNA from Papaver somniferum (opium poppy), 2265 nucleotides. RefSeq lists it as uncharacterized. The record is from RefSeq and is a predicted model, not a curated record. Lineage: Eukaryota; Viridiplantae; Streptophyta; Magnoliopsida; Ranunculales; Papaveraceae. The transcript has 2 exons.
AGAAAAAAUCAUCGUUUAAUUUAUUUAUUAUAUCAGAUCUGAAAUUAAAUCGUCUCUCCUCCUCUUUCAGCCACCACCACCAUCACCGCCUCUGCCACCAUAACCACCUUUGUUACUACCACCGCCUCCGUCAUCACAAUCCAACAGAUUAAUACCCGAGAAAACUAGUUGAUUAUUUUUGGUUCAUUUGAGAGAGAUAUUUUCAGAGGCGAUUUGAAAUUUUGGGAGAGAUAUCUUCGUCUGAAAUCAAUUAAAUUUUCGAGAUCGAACUACAUAGUCAUCAUCAACAGUUUCAUCUUCUUCUUCUCAAACUAAUUGUCGAAUUAGGUUUUCGAAUUUGUUUUCCAGUAAUUGUCGAUUUGUGCAUGUUUGGUUUAUUUGAAGCUUAAAAACUAAUCAUUCAUAUAAUUUUUUGUAUUCGAUUUCAACUGAUUUCGCUCAAUUUGUUUAUCUAGAGGCUCAUAUCUCUUCAAUUUUUCAGGUUGGUAAGGCAUAUGAAUAUGAAAGAAGGUGGAGGAGGUAAUUUAUAGUAUGGUGCAGGUACUGGAGAGGGUUGUGGAGGAGGUGGUGAUUUUUAGUAGUUAGGAGCAGGUAUUGGAGAUAGUGGAGGUGAUUUGUAAUAUGGAACAUGUACUCUAUAUUUUCGAUAUUUAACUUCAGGUAGAAGUGUCAUACACUCAAUUUUAGGUCUGCAAUUCAUUUCUUAAACUAAGUCUUGGUUGUUUGCACUUGAUCAGAGUGUUUCUUUCAAGUUGAUAUAAAGCAAGAGUUACAAAAAGCAUGUGUACUAGAUAGUUGAUAGAGCACGAUUUGUCUAUUUGUUAUGGAAACCAUGCUUACUAAGAGAAGUCGACGCCCCACAAUGUUUGUGAAUAUGAUUAAUCGAUGAUAAACCGAUCAAAAAAAAAUGAUUAAUCGAUGAUAACAAAUAGUGAUGCCAGUUUGCUUAGUAUCUCCACUUAUGCAUAUGAUUAUCUUAAACUAAUAAUGUUGAUGGUUGCAUCACUUACAAAUGACUAUCUUAAACUAAUAAUGUUGAUGGUUGCAUCACUUACAGUGUCUAUGGUAAAUGUAUAUGUUAUUGGAUUUAAGUUGUUGCGAGUUAUGACCAUCAUCUUCAAUGCUUCAUAUUAUUUCAAUUGAGCAGUUGCGAAGGAUUACAAAGUUCAAGUAUCUCAAAUUACCUUGAGAUUCAUCCUUUUUAGGUCGGGAAAGGGACUUGUUGCAUGCCUUUCGAGGUUCUUACGAACCAUCCAUUUUUGCCAUUCGUGUUACACCACGUCAAAUUUAUUAAAUUAUAUCAGUUCAAGUGUUUUGGUGACUUUUAUUGUCUCAUAGAGUAGAAUUGAAAGGUAUAUUUUUACUUGAUUUUCUUUAUUGUCUCAUAUUGAAGAGACUGGAGGCAGUUGAAUUCUCAAAUGUCCUGUACAAGAACUCUUUGGACGGAGACCAAAUGUUGUCUAAAAAGGUAUUGUUACGAGACAUGUUCUAUAAUGCAAAGAUUACUGCCGGUCGACUACAUUUGGCUAAAGACUUGCUAAAUCUUCCAAUCGAAUCUCUCAAGUCUUUUGUGGGCACCAAAGAUGGACUUGGCAUCGUUAACUCAUGGAUUCUGGUACAUUUUUGUCCUUGUAUUCCUCCUUUUUAUUCUUGUUUUGUAUACCCUUAUGUAUUAUAGAUUAAUACAUUUUGGAGAAACUUAUCUUGAAUCAUCUGUUGCAUUCGUAAACAAAAGUCAAUGCGUAAUGCCAUAGUGACCCUAUCUAUCAAUAAUUAUCUUGAAUAUGCGUGUUUAACAUGACAUGAUACCAAUAUAUGGGGAGCUGGUGAUUUUGUAAUAGUAGUAUUAGUGAAUUUAGCAGGAGUAAUGGAAGGAGCUGAUGAAUCAUUACUCGCUGGUACUAAGUUCUGUUGGGACCACCAAUCGGAUUUCAGCGCACUGUGAGAAAGUAGCUUUGGUCAUGGAAACCUACAGGUUGUUGACACCACAGCGGUGGCGGCAGACAGGUGGCGGUGGUGGACUGGCGGCGACGCGGUGGUGGUAGACUGACAGCGGUGGCAGACUGAUGGUGAACUGGUGGUGGUGGUGGAUAUGUGGUGGUGCUAGCGGUGGUGGAAGUUGUGGUGGUGGCGGUGAAGUGGUAGAAAAAGAAAUUUGUGUUGUAUCUUGAAAUAAAGAGAAAUAUUUUACGGAUAAGGGUAUUAGUGUAAUCUGAUUUUAAAUAGAGAAAAAAAUUAAAUGAUAUGGGUAUAUUUAUUGUUGUA